GGCGUACGGUGCGAACGUGUGCACCUGCCUUUAUCUGGGGANUACCCUUUCGAAGGAAGAUUAUACCCCAUAAUAUGUUGAAUGGCAUCAUUCGACAUUGAAAACUCGGUGGAUAGAGAUGGCACGCGCAAGAUAAAUAGUGGUGAGGUAACGGGUCACCAGUCUACGAUCUUAGGGGGCUGAAGUGAUCCCCCAACUGUACUGAAACGGACCAAUCUACGGGAGGCACAGAGGAAUAUGGCAUGGGUGAAGCUGAUCCCAGCCAUCCCCGCGGUGAAGGACGACUGCCCUAUGGGUUGUAAACUUCUUUUGUAUAGGGGAUAAACUACCCUCGUGAGGGUAGCUGAAGGGUACUAUACGAAUAAGCACCGGCUAACUCCGUGCAAGCAAGCCGCGGGUUAAAUACGGGAGGGGUGCAAGCGUUAUCCGGGAUUUAUGGGUUUAAAAGGGUCCCGGUAGCGGAUCCGUAAAGUCAGUGGUGAAAUCUUCAAAGUUACUGUGAAAACUGCAUUGAUACUGGGUCUUGAAGUGUUGUUGAAGUAGCUGGGAAAUAAGUAGUGUAGCGGUGAAAAUUGCAUAGAUUUUACUUAGAACAACCAA
RNAcentral lists this ribosomal RNA (600 nucleotides) under uncultured bacterium. RNAcentral describes it as "bacterial SSU rRNA". It matches the Rfam family "Bacterial small subunit ribosomal RNA", at positions 97 to 713 of the family's 1533-position model. The record is from RNAcentral.